Molecule: transfer RNA, 72 nt
Filed under: Ovis aries (sheep)
Lineage: Eukaryota; Metazoa; Chordata; Mammalia; Artiodactyla; Bovidae
Rfam family: tRNA
About the family: Transfer RNA (tRNA) molecules are approximately 80 nucleotides in length. Their secondary structure includes four short double-helical elements and three loops (D, anti-codon, and T loops). Further hydrogen bonds mediate the characteristic L-shaped molecular structure. tRNAs have two regions of fundamental functional importance: the anti-codon, which is responsible for specific mRNA codon recognition, and the 3' end, to which the tRNAs corresponding amino acid is attached (by aminoacyl-tRNA synthetases). tRNAs cope with the degeneracy of the genetic code in two manners: having more than one tRNA (with a specific anti-codon) for a particular amino acid; and 'wobble' base-pairing, i.e. permitting non-standard base-pairing at the 3rd anti-codon position.
Source: Rfam by way of RNAcentral
UCCCUGGUGGCUCAGACAGUUAAGCGUCUGCCCGUAAUGCAGGAAACCUGGGUUCAAUCCCUGGGUAGGGAA